RNAcentral lists this ribosomal RNA (964 nucleotides) under Moniezia sp. MN-2015. RNAcentral describes it as "large subunit ribosomal RNA". The stretch from base 614 to 964 matches the Rfam family "Bacterial large subunit ribosomal RNA", at positions 2048 to 2708 of the family's 2925-position model. The record is from RNAcentral. Lineage: Eukaryota; Metazoa; Platyhelminthes; Cestoda; Cyclophyllidea; Anoplocephalidae.
GGUUUAUUAACUUGUUGUAUGAUUUUUUAGGAUUUUGUGCCUUUUGCAUCAUGCUUGAUGGAGUUAAAGAUGUAGUUUUUAUACCGAAAAAUCCAGAUUUUAUUUAGUGUUGUUGUGAACUGAUGUUGUUCGGGUUGAUUGAUUUAAACAUUAAGUAGGUAGUGAAAAGUUAGUCGUUGGAUUUUAUAUCUGUUUAACUGUUAUAUGAUUUUGAUUGAUGUUUGAAGCGAUAAGGUUUUAGGCGGUUUUAUACUAGAUGUUUUAUGUUGUUAUAAUAAGGUUAAAAGUACCUAUUUUUGGAAAGUUUGUUAAAAAUUGUUAGUAGGUGAAUGUAUAGUUAAUUAAUUUUGCAGUUUGUUUAAAUAGUUAGUUUUUAAAUAUCAUUAAAUAAGUAAUUGAAUUAUAGUUGUUAUUUCUAGCUGUUUGCCCGUCUGUUUAGUAAAAACAUUUCUAAGUUUUAUUAUACUUAGUAAGACCUGCUCAAUGCUUAUGUUAAUAGCCGCAGUAUUUUGACUGUGCAAAGGUAGCAUAAUUAAUUGUCUCAUAAUUGGAGACUUGUUUGAAUGGUUAGACGUGGUAAUGAUGGAUAUCUGUUAUUUUUUUGAAAUUGUUUUUGUGGUUCAGAAACCACAGUAGUUAGUUAGACGGAAAGACCCCGGGAUCUUUUAGUUUUGCCUGGGGCAGGUUUUUGUGUUUUACUGAAAUUGUGUCCCUAUGAAUGAUGGAUUAGUGGGUUAAGUUACCCCGGGGAUAACAGUGUAAUAGUUAAUAAAAGAUCGUAUUGAGUUAAUUGAUUGCUACCUCGAUGUUGACUUAGGUUUAGGCUGUUGGCGUAGUAGUUUGCAGUGUGGGUCUGUUCGACCUUUGUUACCUUCAUGAGUUGAGUUAAGACCGGCGUGAGCCAGGUCGGUUCUUAUCUACUAUGGUGAUUUACUAGUACGAAAGGACCGUAAGUUGUUUUAUU